This 403-nucleotide ribosomal RNA is filed under the name Verrucomicrobiota bacterium. Its description in RNAcentral is "Verrucomicrobia bacterium partial 16S ribosomal RNA". It matches the Rfam family "Bacterial small subunit ribosomal RNA", at positions 355 to 776 of the family's 1533-position model. The record is from RNAcentral. Lineage: Bacteria; Pseudomonadati; Verrucomicrobiota.
UGGGGAAUAUUGCACAAUGGGCGCAAGCCUGAUGCAGCAACGCCGCGUGAACGAUGAAGGUCUUCGGAUCGUAAAGUUCUGUUGCAGGGGAAGAUAAUGACGGUACCCUGUGAGGAAGCCCCGGCUAACUACGUGCCAGCAGCCGCGGUAAUACGUAGGUCCCGAGCGUUGUCCGGAUUUAUUGGGCGUAAAGCGAGCGCAGGCGGUUAGAAAAGUCUGAAGUGAAAGGCAGUGGCUCAACCAUUGUAGGCUUUGGAAACUGUUUAACUUGAGUGCAGAAGGGGAGAGUGGAAUUCCAUGUGUAGCGAUGAAAUGCGUAGAUAUAUGGAGGAACACCGGUGGCGAAAGCGGCUCUCUGGUCUGUAACUGACGCUGAGGCUCGAAAGCGUGGGGAGCGAACAGG